Molecule: long non-coding RNA, 262 nt
Organism: Nomascus leucogenys (northern white-cheeked gibbon)
Lineage: Eukaryota; Metazoa; Chordata; Mammalia; Primates; Hylobatidae
Exons: 3
Source: RefSeq, a predicted model, not a curated record
CUCUUGUGUUUUCAGAUGAGGAAACUAAGUCAAGUGACUUGCCCUGGGUCACACAGCAAGACAUCAUAAGACCAGGGAACAGAUCCAGUAGCCUUGGACUUUCUCAGACGUUUCCAAGACCACUGAACCAUACUACCUUCCAGAUCUACAGUACCGGACAAGCAUUGAGUUGAAAGCUGGAUCUUGCGGGUUCCUAGUUGUAGAACUUCUGCUGAAAAACAGAGGAGAGAAUUUCAACAUGAAGAGAUUACUUGAGAAAGCA